Molecule: ribosomal RNA, 253 nt
Filed under: uncultured bacterium
Lineage: Bacteria
Description: partial 16S ribosomal RNA
Rfam family: Bacterial small subunit ribosomal RNA
Source: RNAcentral
UACGAAGGGGGCUAGCGUUGCUCGGAAUCACUGGGCGUAAAGGGUGCGUAGGCGGGUCUUUAAGUCAGGGGUGAAAUCCUGGAGCUCAACUCCAGAACUGCCUUUGAUACUGAGGAUCUUGAGUUCGGGAGAGGUGAGUGGAACUGCGAGUGUAGAGGUGAAAUGCGUAGAGAUCAUGAGGAAGACCAGUGGCGAAGGCGGGUCUCUGGACAGUUCCUGACACUGAGACACGAAGGCCAGGGGAGCAAACGGG